Anopheles arabiensis is the source of this 283-nucleotide long non-coding RNA. RefSeq lists it as uncharacterized. NCBI's taxonomy places the organism in Eukaryota, Metazoa, Arthropoda, Insecta, Diptera, Culicidae. The transcript has 3 exons. The record is from RefSeq and is a predicted model, not a curated record.
AGCGACGCUAGCGAAGAAGAAAAAAAUACGGUUAUCCGUAGAAGUUAAAGUAAAGAAGGGACAAAAAAAAGUUUAAAAAAAUACGUGUGGUUGAGAAAAUGAAGGGGAGAUUAAAAGAUUCGCAAUUUGAAGGAACAAUAGGGAAGAGAAAGCACCGAACUGGCCGAGAGAGACCGAGAGAGAGAAGAGUGCUUGGUGUUAGUUUGGGCUAGUAAAUGAGUUGUUUUACAUCGCUUACACAGAGUUCAUGGAAAGAUCGUCGUUUUUUGUGGGGCAGAGGAAC